AGGAGGAACAGCCCCAGUGGUGGGGCCAGCUCUGGAAACCUGGAUUCAGCCCCCGCAGGAACUCCGGAGCUCUCCUCUGCAGGGCCUGGAGGCUCCGGGGCGGG
RNAcentral lists this microRNA precursor (104 nucleotides) under Canis lupus familiaris (dog). Its description in RNAcentral is "mir-8834 microRNA precursor family". It matches the Rfam family "mir-8834 microRNA precursor family". Lineage: Eukaryota; Metazoa; Chordata; Mammalia; Carnivora; Canidae. RNAcentral also lists the same sequence under 1 other name. The record is from Rfam by way of RNAcentral.